GGAGAUGUGGUUCAAGUGGUAGAGCACCUACCUUGCGAGUACAAGGUCCUGGGUUCAAUCCCUAGUACCACCA
Molecule: transfer RNA, 73 nt
Filed under: Dipodomys ordii (Ord's kangaroo rat)
Lineage: Eukaryota; Metazoa; Chordata; Mammalia; Rodentia; Heteromyidae
Rfam family: tRNA
About the family: Transfer RNA (tRNA) molecules are approximately 80 nucleotides in length. Their secondary structure includes four short double-helical elements and three loops (D, anti-codon, and T loops).
Source: Rfam by way of RNAcentral